Molecule: ribosomal RNA, 494 nt
Filed under: uncultured Sphingobacteriales bacterium
Lineage: Bacteria; Pseudomonadati; Bacteroidota; Sphingobacteriia; Sphingobacteriales
Description: bacterial SSU rRNA
Rfam family: Bacterial small subunit ribosomal RNA
Source: RNAcentral
CCAGCCCGCUCAGAAACUUAAAGGAAUUGACGGGGCCGCACAAGCGGAGGAACAUGUGGUUUAAUUCGAUGAUACGCGAGGAACCUUACCUGGGCUCAAAUGUAUGUUGACGUAUUCUGAAAGGGAUACUUCUUCGGACAAUAUACAAGGUGCUGCAUGGUUGUCGUCAGCUCGUGCCGUGAGGUGUCGGGUUAAGUCCCAUAACGAGCGCAACCCCUACCUUUAGUUGCCAUCAGGUAAUGCUGGGGACUCUAAAGGAACUGCCUACGCAAGUAGUGAGGAAGGCGGGGAUGACGUCAAAUCAGCACGGCCCUUACGUCCAGGGCUACACACGUGCUACAAUGGCCGAUACAGAGGGCAGCUACCUGGUGACAGGAUGCAAAUCUCCAAAGUCGGUCUCAGUUCGGAUCGGAGUCUGCAACCCGACUCCGUGAAGUUGGAUUCGCUAGUAAUCGCGCAUCAGCCAUGGCGCGGUAAAUACGUUCCCGGGCCUU